Molecule: ribosomal RNA, 428 nt
Filed under: uncultured prokaryote
Also listed under: 1 other name
Description: bacterial SSU rRNA
Rfam family: Bacterial small subunit ribosomal RNA
Source: RNAcentral
UGGGGAAUCUUGCGCAAUGGGCGAAAGCCUGACGCAGCAACGCCGCGUGAGCGAAGAAGGCCUUCGGGUUGUAAAGCUCUGUCAGGGGGAAAGAAGGCACCUGGGUUAAUAGCCCAAGGGCUGACGGUACCCCCAAAGGAAGCCACGGCUAACUACGUGCCAGCAGCCGCGGUAAUACGUAGGUGGCAAGCGUUGUCCGGAAUCAUUGGGCGUAAAGAGCGCGUAGGUGGCUUGUCAGGUCUGAUGUGAAAUUUCGGGGCUCAACUCCGAACCUGCAUCGGAAACCGGCUUGCUAGAGUCUGGGAGAGGAGAGUGGAAUUCCUGGUGUAGCGGUGAAAUGCGUAGAUAUCAGGAGGAACACCGGUAGCGAAGGCGGCUCUCUGGAACAGUACUGACGCUGAGGCGCGAAAGCUAGGGGAGCGAACAGG